RNAcentral lists this ribosomal RNA (253 nucleotides) under uncultured bacterium. RNAcentral's name for it is "partial 16S ribosomal RNA". It matches the Rfam family "Bacterial small subunit ribosomal RNA", at positions 524 to 776 of the family's 1533-position model. The record is from RNAcentral.
UACGUAGGGGGCUAGCGUUGUCCGGAAUCAUUGGGCGUAAAGCGCGUGUAGGCGGUCCGUUAAGUCCGCUGUGAAAGUCGAGGGCUCAACCCUCGAAUGCCGGUGGAUACUGUCGGGCUAGAGUGCGGAAGAGGCGAGUGGAAUUCCUGGUGUAGCGGUGAAAUGCGCAGAUAUCAGGAGGAACACCUAUUGCGAAGGCAGCUCGCUGGGACGUUACUGACGCUGAGACGCGAAAGCGUGGGGAGCAAACAGG